AACGCUGGCGGCAGGCUUAACACAUGCAAGUCGAGCGGUAACAGAGAUAGCUUGCUAUUUGCUGACGAGCGGCGGACGGGUGAGUAAUGCUUGGGAAUAUCCCUUAUGGUGGGGGACAACAGUUGGAAACGACUGCUAAUACCGCAUAACGUCUACGGACCAAAGGGGGGGAUGCUUCGGCACCUCCCGCCAUUUGAUUAGCCCAAGUGAGAUUAGCUAGUAGGUGAGGUAAGAGCUCACCUAGGCGACGAUCUCUAGCUGGUUUGAGAGGAUGAUCAGCCACACUGGGACUGAGACACGGCCCAGACUCCUACGGGAGGCAGCAGUGGGGAAUAUUGCACAAUGGGCGAAAGCCUGAUGCAGCCAUGCCGCGUGUGUGAAGAAGGCCUUCGGGUUGUAAAGCACUUUCAGCGAGGAGGAAAGGUUAGUGGUUAAUAGCCACUAGCUGUGACGUUACUCGCAGAAGAAG
Molecule: ribosomal RNA, 469 nt
Filed under: Colwellia sp. 'Disko Bay 9'
Lineage: Bacteria; Pseudomonadati; Pseudomonadota; Gammaproteobacteria; Alteromonadales; Colwelliaceae
Description: bacterial SSU rRNA
Rfam family: Bacterial small subunit ribosomal RNA
Source: RNAcentral